CUCUUCAAGAAAAGUAACCAUCCCCUUUCCAAAUCCUAACAGCCUCUCAUAUUCAAGCGUUCUCAUCUCUUCUCUGUUCUCCUCUAGUCCCAUCUCUGUGUAUAGUGUCACUUCCCUCUCGCCGAUGCUGUCUCAUGCCUAGCCGCCUAACACUUGAUUUUUCUCCCCAUCUCAAGCUCAACUCGACAUUUUUACCCUCACCCAACACCAACUGCUGGUGCAUUUGCGUGCGCCUCCCAAUGUGCAUUUGCUGCUUGAAAUCAUUUGCCUCUUGCUGAUGUGCGUCUCCCUCCCCUACUUUACUCUGCUUGUCAGUUCAAGGUGUUGAUUUGUGAUUCUAUGAUAUUCUGUGAUUCUAGGUCGAUCUUUUGCAAUUCUACUAUUGCCUCUUUGCUCAAUUUUCGAGUUGUGAAAUCAUAACCCGAUAAGAGAAUAUUUGUUAUUGAUUUGUUGUUUGAUGGUUUCAGCUUGUUAAGUACAUAUAUGUUGUUUGUUGAUUGUUGUUGAUUUGUUAUUUGAAUUGUUGUGAAACCCAAUUUGCCAUGUUUAUAACCUGUGAAAUUCUAAUAUGAGGAAGGAAUAGCAAAAAUAACGUACUGAACUGAACAAAAAAUCUUCGGUUCGGCUCGAUUUGAUUUUCAAUAUAUAUAUAUAUAUAUAUAUAUAUUGUUGUCGUGAGUCCUCGAUUGGGCUCCUGAUUAAGAAGAUAGUGGGUUGUCUGAUUGUAAGCUUGAGAAUGAAGAUGGGUUACGUAACUUUUCUUUCUAGAGUCUUGUAAUCACAUUUCGAGUCGUUAGAGGUUGUCACUCCAGGAUUUUAGGGUAACUCGGAUGCUUUGAGAGCAGGGUCUCCAAGAUUCUAGCCGAGAAGAGUUCUUGUGGGAUAAGUUCUUAUUCUAGCACAUAUCAAGCUAUUUGAAUGCCGAAUCAUUGGUCGUCUGACCUGAGCUAUCUGAGUUAUCAUGUCUAAGCCCAGAGCUGGCAAGAAGAUCUACUUUGACCACCAGCGGGUGAGCUAGACUGAUCCAAGACUGCUUGAGAUGAGCCACGCUCAUGGGUCAUGGAAACUAAACUAGGCCAUCCAGCCCCUCGAUUGACAUGGUUCGGAUUUGAUUCAAAUAUUGGGUCAUUCUACAUUAAUACUUCGAUUCACUUUAGUUCUCAUAAUUUUAAAAUUCAAUUUUCCCGCUAA
Hevea brasiliensis (rubber tree) is the source of this 1191-nucleotide long non-coding RNA. RefSeq lists it as uncharacterized. The record is from RefSeq and is a predicted model, not a curated record. NCBI's taxonomy places the organism in Eukaryota, Viridiplantae, Streptophyta, Magnoliopsida, Malpighiales, Euphorbiaceae. The transcript is spliced from 2 exons.